UAGGGAAUCUUCCGCAAUGGGCGAAAGCUUGACGGAGCAACGCCGCGUGAGUGAUGAAGGUCUUCGGAUCGUAAAACUCUGUUAUUAGGGAAGAACAAAUGUGUAAGUAACUAUGCACGUCUUGACGGUACCUAAUCAGAAAGCCACGGCUAACUACGUGCCAGCAGCCGCGGUAAUACGUAGGUGGCAAGCGUUAUCCGGAAUUAUUGGGCGUAAAGCGCGCGUAGGCGGUUUUUUAAGUCUGAUGUGAAAGCCCACGGCUCAACCGUGGAGGGUCAUUGGAAACUGGAAAACUUGAGUGCAGAAGAGGAAAGUGGAAUUCCAUGUGUAGCGGUGAAAUGCGCAGAGAUAUGGAGGAACACCAGUGGCGAAGGCGACUUUCUGGUCUGUAACUGACGCUGAUGGGCGAAAGCGUGGGGAUCAAACAGG
Molecule: ribosomal RNA, 429 nt
Filed under: Actinomycetes bacterium
Lineage: Bacteria; Bacillati; Actinomycetota; Actinomycetes
Description: Actinobacteria bacterium partial 16S ribosomal RNA
Rfam family: Bacterial small subunit ribosomal RNA
Source: RNAcentral